This 915-nucleotide long non-coding RNA is filed under the name Homo sapiens (human). RNAcentral describes it as "HSALNT0032068". The record is from RNAcentral. Lineage: Eukaryota; Metazoa; Chordata; Mammalia; Primates; Hominidae.
GAAACUCUUUAUGGCUAUUCCUCUAGACUCGAGGCUAAAGCAUGCUCAAGUAUCUCCUACCUUAAAAACAAAUAAACAAAAACCUGUUUGACUUUGAGCUUUUUCUUUUUCCCUUUUUUGUUUUCUUUGAGUCUUGGUCUUGCUCUGUUGCCCAGGCUGGAGUGCAGUGGUGAGUGGUGUGAUCUUAGCUCACUGCAUCCUUCAACUCCUGGGCCCAAGCCAUCCUCCCACCUCAUCCUCCUGAGUAGCUAGGACUACAGUCUGAACAAGCCUACGGGGUACAUUCACUCUCUUUCCUGCUGAUGCUAUGGUCUGAUGAAAGGACAGAAAAACAAAGUCAGGACACCUAGUCCCAGGUGUGCUAACAACAGCAGAAAAACAGAUGUGACUGAAACCAGUGGUGAUGAUGGCGGUGGAGAUGGAGCACAGCCCUGAAGAGUAUCUAGAAGUUUGUCUCCUCCAGAGAAAUGCGCAUUCAUUCAAAAAAUAUGCCAGGCACUCUCAGGCAUUGGGAAUAAAGCCAUGGGUUCAGCUAUGGUAUUAGUCCAUUCUCACACUGCUAAUAAAUACCCGAGACUGGGUAGCCUAUUAAGGAAAGAGGUUUAAUUGACUCACAGUUCAGCAUGGCUGGCGAGGCCUCAGGAAACUUACAAUCAUGGCAGAAAGGGAAGCAAACACAUCCUUCUUCAUGUUGUGGCAGCAAGGAGGAGUGCAGAGAGAAGGUGGGUAUGGGUAAAUCCUCUUAUAAAACCAUCAGAUCUCAUGAAACUCACUCACUAUCAUGAAAACAACAUGGAGGUAACCAACCCCAUGAUUCAAUUACCUUAUACUGGGCCCCUCCCAUGGCAUGUGGGGAUUAUGGGAGCUACAAUUCAAGAUGAGAUUUGGGUGGGGAUACAGAGCCUAAUCAUAUCA